GCUGCUGUCUCAGACUAGCCAUGCAUGUCUAAGUAUAAAUAACUACACAGUAGAACUGCGAAUGGCUCAUUAAAACAGUUAUAGUUUAUUUGAUACAUUUUAAUUGGAUAACUGUAUAAACACUAUAGCUAAUACAUGCUAAGACCGUAAGGUUGUAUUUAUUAGAUAUACCGAAUAUGUGAAUCAUAAUAACUUCGCAAAUCGCAGUAUUACUGCGAUAAAUCAUUCAAGUUUCUGCCCUAUCAUGCUCUCGAUGGUAGUGUAUUGGACUACCAUGGCUCUCACGGGUAACGGGGAAUUAAGGUUCGAUUCCGGAGAAGGAACCUGAAAAACGGCUACUACGUCUAAGGAAGGCAGCAGGCGCGUAAAUUACCCAAUCCUGAAUCAGGGAGGUAGUGACAAGAUAUAACAACCCGAUCAAAAGUCGCGAUUGUAGUGAGGGUUUUCCAAACCGAACUUCCAUUACGAUUGGAGGGCUAGUCUGGUGCCAGCUUCCGCGG
Molecule: ribosomal RNA, 500 nt
Filed under: uncultured eukaryote
Lineage: Eukaryota
Description: SSU rRNA
Rfam family: Eukaryotic small subunit ribosomal RNA
Source: RNAcentral